Molecule: long non-coding RNA, 922 nt
Organism: Myiozetetes cayanensis
Lineage: Eukaryota; Metazoa; Chordata; Aves; Passeriformes; Tyrannidae
Exons: 3
Source: RefSeq, a predicted model, not a curated record
GUCUCUGUCCUGCAAUCUCCCCUUUACAGGCAUUAGGGACAGACCGCUUCACAGGAUCACAGAAUAAGCUUGAGUUGGAAAGGACCCACAAGGAUCACCAAGUCCAUCUCCUAUUUGCACAUGGAAAUGCUCUACAUAAAAGAGUAGAUAAAUCUUAAGCCUUCAGCCUUCCCAUCUGCCGUUCUAGGGAUAAAUUUAAACAGAGUUAUUAUUGUUCUGUGUAGGUGAUGGCUAACAGGAUUACAGAUGACUCUGCACUUAUUAGUCCUGACAUUGUCCCCGUGAAAACAUGGAUAGAAGUUCCACCGUGAAGUCAGCCUUGCAGAGACCAUCUCAAGGACCCACAGGCUCAAUUUUCUCUUGGUUGGAGAGAAAAUAAAGGUCUUACUAUCAGAAUAUUGUGUCAUUUCAAGGUUUUAAGACUUAAAUAGGACCAAGGAAAGAAACACAAUGGAUUACAGGUGCAUUAAACACAGAAACUGUAACAGAGAUCCUCUGGGGCACACCAAUCCAUAAGGAUUUUGUGAAGAGGAAAGAUAAAGGAAAGGUUAGAUGGUUCUUCAGUGUGCUGAACGUGCUUCACAUUUUUUAUAGAAUAAUAUAACUGAACUGUGCUUAGCUCAAUUUAAAAUUUUGUUUUGUAGUUGACCUUUUCCAGAUUAAUGACACAGUUUCAGUGGUAGCACACAGGAGACAUGCCAGUUACAGUGAUUAAAUAAAAACACAUUAAGAGAAACCAUAUAUAUUGUUGCCUAGCAGAGAACCAAAACAUUUUUUUUCCUGAAAGCUGCAUGAACUUAUUUUCCAGGUCUUAAAAAUGGCAUUGGACUUCAAUAGAAAGGAAUUGAAAGAGAGAAUUGAUUAGUAGUAGUUGUGCUUUGGAUGGUGAUGGUAAUUAUUAUAAUACCUCCAAAUACUUUUU